CCCUUAGAUGUCCUGGGCCGCACGCGCGCUACACUGAGUGUCUGAGAUACGAGUCUGCCUGGUCCGGCAAGGUCUAGGUAAUCGCUAAAAGACACAUCAUGCUUGGGAUAGAUUAUUGCAAAUAUUAAUCUUGAACGAGGAAUUCCUAGUAAACGCAAGUCAUCAGCUUGCAUUGAUUACGUCCCUGCCCUUUGUACACACCGCCCGUCGCUCCUACCGAUUGAAUGAUCCGAUGAAUACCAUGGAUUGAGAGUUCGAACAGGUUCUCCUGUUUCAGCUUCUCGAGAAGUGGAGUAAAUCUUAUCAUUUAGAGGAAGGAGAAGUCGUAACA
Molecule: ribosomal RNA, 331 nt
Filed under: uncultured eukaryote
Lineage: Eukaryota
Description: partial 18S ribosomal RNA
Rfam family: Eukaryotic small subunit ribosomal RNA
Source: RNAcentral